This 320-nucleotide long non-coding RNA is filed under the name Felis catus (domestic cat). RNAcentral's name for it is "lncRNA (ENSFCAG00000047788.1)". Lineage: Eukaryota; Metazoa; Chordata; Mammalia; Carnivora; Felidae. The record is from RNAcentral.
AUUGCCAGUUACAUUAAAUACAGUAUAUGACAAGAGUUUAUUAAUACCAUACUGUAGUCAACAUCUGUGGAGCUUAUACAAUGGUCCCCAUGCAGAAAAAAGUUGAAAAAAAAGGUGAUAAGAAGGAGAUGAUUGCGGUGGAAGUUAAGAAGGAAAUCAUCGAGAAACACAGGUCUGAAUAAAGAAUUUCAUAUCUCUUUGUUUCAUUAUCAUUACAAGAAGACAUAAGUGAAAGGCUUUCAGUGGGAGUGGUAUAAUGAAGACAGAGAAAUGUGACAGAGGUGAAUAAAAGAGCACCCUGGAGAAAAAGAAGAAUCUAA